CCUACGGGUAGCAGCAGUGAGGCAUCUUGGUCACUGGCCGGAAGGCUGCACCAGCCAAGCCGCGUGAAGGACGCAGGUGCCAAGCAUUGUAAACUUCUUUUGUCCAGGGACCAAAUCCGGCUCGAGAGCCUGACCGUGGGUACUUGAAGACACCGCAUCGGCUACCUCCGUUCCCGCAGCCGCGGUAAUACGGGGGAUUCGAGCGUUAUCCGGAUUUAUUGUGUUUAAGGGGUGCGUAGGCGGACUGUUAAGUCAGCGGUAAAAGCCUGGGGCUCAACCCCGGCGAGCCGUUGAAACUGGCUGGCUUGAGAUGGCGAGAGGUAUGCGGAAUGCGCAGUGUAGCGGUGAAAGGCUUAGAUAUUGCGCAGAACUCCGAUUGCGAAGGCAGCAUACCGGCGGCGAACUGACGCUGAGGCACGAAAGCGUGGGUAUCGAACAGGAUUAGAGACCCGAGUAGUC
RNAcentral lists this ribosomal RNA (459 nucleotides) under uncultured bacterium. RNAcentral's name for it is "partial 16S ribosomal RNA". It matches the Rfam family "Bacterial small subunit ribosomal RNA", at positions 338 to 795 of the family's 1533-position model. The record is from RNAcentral.